GACGAACCGUGCAAACGUUGUUCGGAAUCACUGGGCUUAAAGGGCGCGUAGGCGGGCUCUCAAGUCGGGGGUGAAAUCGUUCGGCCCAACCGGACAAGGGCUUCCGAUACUGAGAGUCUCGAGGGAGGUAGGGGUCGAGGGAACUGGUGGUGGAGCGGUGAAAUGCGUAGAUAUCACUAGGAACGCCGGUGGCGAAAGCGCUCGACUGGACCUCUUCUGACGCUGAGGCGCGAAAGCCAGGGGAGCAAACGGG
This 253-nucleotide ribosomal RNA is filed under the name uncultured bacterium. RNAcentral's name for it is "partial 16S ribosomal RNA". It matches the Rfam family "Bacterial small subunit ribosomal RNA", at positions 524 to 776 of the family's 1533-position model. The record is from RNAcentral. RNAcentral also lists the same sequence under 1 other name.